AAGACCUUGCGCUUUUGGAGCGGCCGAUGUCUGAUUAGCUUGUUGGUGAGGUAAAAGCUUACCAAGGCUUCGAUCAGUAGCUGGUCUGAGAGGACGACCAGCCACACUGGGACUGAGACACGGCCCAGACUCCUACGGGAGGCAGCAGUGGGGAAUUUUGGACAAUGGGGGAAACCCUGAUCCAGCCAUGCCGCGUGAGUGAAGAAGGCCUUCGGGUUGUAAAGCUCUUUCAGCCGGAACGAAACGGUUACGGUCAAUACCCGUGACUACUGACGGUACCGGGAGAAGAAGCACCGGCUAACUACGUGCCAGCAGCCGCGGUAAUACGUAGGGUGCGAGCGUUAAUCGGAAUUACUGGGCGUAAAGCGUGCGCAGGUGGUUUUGUAAGUCAGAUGUGAAAUCCCCGGGCUUAACCUGGGAACU
RNAcentral lists this ribosomal RNA (423 nucleotides) under uncultured bacterium. RNAcentral's name for it is "bacterial SSU rRNA". It matches the Rfam family "Bacterial small subunit ribosomal RNA", at positions 207 to 622 of the family's 1533-position model. The record is from RNAcentral.